RNAcentral lists this ribosomal RNA (460 nucleotides) under uncultured bacterium. RNAcentral's name for it is "partial 16S ribosomal RNA". It matches the Rfam family "Bacterial small subunit ribosomal RNA", at positions 338 to 795 of the family's 1533-position model. The record is from RNAcentral.
CCUACGGGGGGCAGCAGUGAGGAAUAUUGGUCAAUGGGCGUAAGCCUGAACCAGCCAAGUCGCGUGAGGGAUGAAGGUUCUAUGGAUCGUAAACCUCUUUUAUAAGGGAAUAAAGUGCGGGACGUGUCCCGUUUUGUAUGUACCUUAUGAAUAAGGAUCGGCUAACUCCGUGCCAGCAGCCGCGGUAAUACGGAGGAUCCGAGCGUUAUCCGGAUUUAUUGGGUUUAAAGGGUGCGUAGGCGGCCUUUUCAGUCAGCGGUGAAAGUCUGUGGCUCAACCAUAGAAUUGCCGUUGAAACUGGCAGGCUUGAGUAUGUUUGCGGCAGGCGGAAUUCGUGGUGUAGCGGUGAAAUGCUUAGAUAUCACGCAGAACCCCGAUUGCGAAGGCAGCCUGCCAAGCCAUGACUGACGCUGAUGCACGAACGCGUGGGUAUCAAACAGGAUUAGAUACCCGAGUAGUC